This 401-nucleotide ribosomal RNA is filed under the name uncultured bacterium. RNAcentral's name for it is "bacterial SSU rRNA". It matches the Rfam family "Bacterial small subunit ribosomal RNA", at positions 28 to 425 of the family's 1533-position model. The record is from RNAcentral.
GACGAACGCUGGCGGCGUGCCUAACACAUGCAGGUCAACUUGAAGGAAGGAGCAAUCUGACCUGAUGGUGGCGCAAAGGGUGCGUAACGCGUAAGUAACUUGCCCAAGGUAAGGAGUAACGUCGAGAAAUCGGCGCUAAUACCUCAUAAUGCAGCGGACCCGCAUGGGUAUGUUGUUAAAAGGUUUACCGCCUUGGGAUAGGCUUGCGUCUGAUUAGCUAGUUGGUGUGGUUAACGGCGCACCAAGGCUACGAUCAGUAACUGGUCUGAGAGGAUGAUCAGUCACACUGGAACUGAGACACGGUCCAGACUCCUACGGGAGGCAGCAGUGAGGAAUAUUGGGCAAUGCACGAAAGUGUGACCAGCAACGCCGACGUGGAGGAUGGAAGGUAUUCUAUAUCG